RNAcentral lists this ribosomal RNA (242 nucleotides) under uncultured Actinomycetales bacterium. RNAcentral's name for it is "partial 16S ribosomal RNA". It matches the Rfam family "Bacterial small subunit ribosomal RNA", at positions 89 to 334 of the family's 1533-position model. Lineage: Bacteria; Bacillati; Actinomycetota; Actinomycetes; Actinomycetales. The record is from RNAcentral.
ACUCGAGUGGCGAACGGGUGAGUAACGCGUGGGUGAUCUGCCCUGCACUUCGGGAUAAGCCUGGGAAACUGGGUCUAAUACCGGAUAGGAGCCAUUUUUAGUGUGAUGGUUGGAAAGUUUUUUCGGUGUAGGAUGAGCUCGCGGCCUAUCAGCUUGUUGGUGGGGUAAUGGCCUACCAAGGCGGCGACGGGUAGCCGGCCUGAGAGGGUGGACGGCCACAUUGGGACUGAGAUACGGCCCAG